AUUUAUGUAGUUUAAUAUAAAACAUUAUAUUUUCAUUAUAAAAAUAAAGAAGUUUCAUAAAUA
Molecule: transfer RNA, 63 nt
Filed under: Allacta hainanensis
Lineage: Eukaryota; Metazoa; Arthropoda; Insecta; Blattodea; Pseudophyllodromiidae
Description: tRNA-Glu
Source: RNAcentral